RNAcentral lists this unclassified non-coding RNA (905 nucleotides) under Hevea brasiliensis (rubber tree). Lineage: Eukaryota; Viridiplantae; Streptophyta; Magnoliopsida; Malpighiales; Euphorbiaceae. The record is from RNAcentral.
UUUACAAUUAUCGAACUCAUCAUUAUCAGCACUCAUAUUGGACUUCUCUCUCUCUCUCUCUAAGGGUGACCUGAGAUCACAUACAAAAAUGGUGAAGGCCGUCGCCGUCCUUAACAGCAGUGAAGGUGUUAGUGGCACCAUCCUCUUCACUCAAGAUGGAGAUGCUCCAACCACAGUUAAUGGAAAUAUUUCUGGCCUAAAACCUGGACUUCAUGGCUUCCAUGUCCAUGCCCUUGGUGAUACCACAAAUGGCUGUAUGUCAACAGGACCACAUUACAAUCCUGCUGGUAAGGAGCAUGGUGCUCCUGAAGAUGAGGUGCGUCAUGCUGGUGAUCUUGGUAACAUCACAGUUGGAGAAGAUGGUACUGCAUCUUUUACUAUUACCGACAAGCAGAUUCCUCUCACUGGUCCACAGUCCAUCAUUGGAAGAGCUGUUGUUGUUCAUGCUGAUCCUGAUGAUCUUGGAAAGGGAGGACAUGAGCUCAGUAAAAGCACCGGAAAUGCUGGCGGAAGGAUUGCUUGUGGUAUUAUUGGCCUCCAGGGUUAACUGCUCCGGUGAGGUGAAGAUUCAGCAACUAGCGGUGGUGUCUGUCUUAGAAUAAAGUUAUAUUGGAGCUGCUGAGCCUUGUUUUCUAUGUAUUUAUCAUUUGACGCCUUUUGAAUUGGGGUUGAACCAUUCAUAAUACAUGACUGUAGUGCUGCUUUUCAGUGGAUGUUGUACUAGUUUUUGCCGAUCAUUAACCAUAAAAAAACAUGGGCUGUGUUAGCUUUGCUGGUUUCUUAAAUUUGAGUGGAUGGUUUGAAAACUAGACAAAAUUUAGAUGAAUUUGCAGAUUACAGUGCCUGCAGUUUUUGUUCAUAAAAUUGUAUUUCAACUGACUUCUCAGAUGGCAGAGUAUUUGCAA